UGCCAGCCGCCGCGGUAAUACGAAGGGUGCUAGCGUUGCUCGGAAUUACUGGGCGUAAAGAGCAUGUAGGCGGAUGAAUUAGUCAGAGGUGAAAGCCCCGAGCUCAACUUGGGAACUGCCUUUGAUACUGUUUAUCUAGAGUCCGAGAGAGGUUAGUGGAAUUCCCAGUGUAGAGGUGAAAUUCGUAGAUAUUGGGAAGAACACCAGUGGCGAAGGCGGCUAACUGGCUCGGUACUGACGCUGUAGUACAAAAGCAUGGGUAGUGAACUGGAUUAGAUA
This 279-nucleotide ribosomal RNA is filed under the name uncultured bacterium. Its description in RNAcentral is "partial 16S ribosomal RNA". It matches the Rfam family "Bacterial small subunit ribosomal RNA", at positions 506 to 784 of the family's 1533-position model. The record is from RNAcentral.